This 406-nucleotide ribosomal RNA is filed under the name uncultured bacterium. RNAcentral's name for it is "bacterial SSU rRNA". It matches the Rfam family "Bacterial small subunit ribosomal RNA", at positions 355 to 775 of the family's 1533-position model. The record is from RNAcentral.
CAAGGAAUUUUCCGCAAUGGGCGCAAGCCUGACGGAGCGACGCCGCGUGGAGGAAGACACUUUUCGGAGCGUAAACUCCUUUUCUGGGGGAUGAAGACAGUGACAGUACCCCAGGAAGAAGGACCGGCUAACUACGUGCCAGCAGCCGCGGUAAGACGUAGGGUCCGAGCGUUGUCCGGAGUUACUGGGCGUAAAGGGCGCGUAGGCGGUUCCACGCGUCACACGUGAAAGCCCCUGGCUUAACCAGGGAGGGUCGUGUGAAACGGUGGAACUGGAGGCAGAGAGAGGCUGGUGGAAUUCCCGGAGUAGUGGUGAAAUGCGUAGAUAUCGGGAGGAACACCGGUGGCGAAGGCGGCCAGCUGGCUCUGACCUGACGCUGAGGCGCGAAGGCGUGGGGAGCGAACGG